This 276-nucleotide ribosomal RNA is filed under the name uncultured prokaryote. RNAcentral describes it as "partial 16S ribosomal RNA". It matches the Rfam family "Bacterial small subunit ribosomal RNA", at positions 524 to 800 of the family's 1533-position model. The record is from RNAcentral.
UACGUAGGGGCGAGCCGUUAUCCGGAAUUAUUGGGCGUAAAGAGUGCGUAGGUGGUUUUUUAAGCGUGUGGUGAAAGGCAAUAGCUUAACUAUUGUAAGCCGCGCGAACUGGAAGACUUGAGUGCAGGAGAGGAAAGCGGAAUUCCUAGUGUAGCGGUGAAAUGCGUAGAUAUUAGGAGGAACACCAGUGGCGAAGGCGGCUUUCUGGACUGUAACUGACACUGAGGCACGAAAGCGUGGGGAGCAAACAGGAUUAGAUACCCUGGUAGUCCCUGA